GAUGAAGAACGUAGCGAAAUGCGAUAAGUAAUGUGAAUUGCAGAAUUCAGUGAAUCAUCGAAUCUUUGAACGCACAUUGCGCCCGUCAGUAUUCUGGCGGGCAUGCCUGUUCGAGCGUCAUUACGCCCCUCAAGUCCCCUGUGGACUUGGUGUUGGGGAUCGGCGAGGCUGGUUUUCCAGCACAGCCGUCCCUUAAAUUAAUUGGCGGUCUCGCCGUGGCCCUCCUCUGCGCAGUAGUAAAACACUCGCAACAGGAGCCCGGUGCGGUCCACUGCCGUAAAACCCCCCAACUUUUUAUAGUUGACCUCGAAUCAGGUAGGACUACCCGCUGAACUUAAGCAUAUCAAUAAGCGGACGA
This 358-nucleotide unclassified non-coding RNA is filed under the name soil metagenome. RNAcentral's name for it is "partial contains 5.8S ribosomal RNA, internal transcribed spacer 2, and large subunit ribosomal RNA". The stretch from base 1 to 120 matches the Rfam family "5.8S ribosomal RNA", at positions 35 to 154 of the family's 154-position model. The record is from RNAcentral.